Molecule: ribosomal RNA, 433 nt
Filed under: uncultured bacterium
Lineage: Bacteria
Description: partial 16S ribosomal RNA
Rfam family: Bacterial small subunit ribosomal RNA
Source: RNAcentral
AACGAACGCUGGCGGCAUGCCUAACACAUGCAAGUCGAACGAGACCUUCGGGUCUAGUGGCGCACGGGGGCGUAACGCGUGGGAACCUGCCCGUAGGUUCGGAAUAACUCCCCGAAAGGGGUGCUAAUACCGGAUAAUGUCUUCGGACCAAAGAUCUAUCGCCUUUGGAUGGGCCCGCGUUGGAUUAGCUAGUUGGUAGGGUAAAAGCCUACCAAGGCGACGAUCCAUAGCUGGUCUGAGAGGAGGAUCAGCCACACUGGGACUGAGACCCGGCCCAGACUCCUACGGGAGGCAGCAGUGGGUAAUAUUGGAGAAUGGGCGAGAGCCUGAACCAGCAAUGCCGCGUGAGUGAUGAAGGCCUUAGGGUUGUAAUGCUCUUUUACCCGAGAUGAUAAUGACAGUACCGGGUGAAUAAGCUCCGGCUAACUCCGUG